Molecule: long non-coding RNA, 933 nt
Organism: Melanaphis sacchari
Lineage: Eukaryota; Metazoa; Arthropoda; Insecta; Hemiptera; Aphididae
Exons: 3
Source: RefSeq, a predicted model, not a curated record
UUACAAUAUUAUAAAAUAGGUGAUAAUAGUUUUUCCUAUUCAAUCUUAGAUUUUUUUUUUUAAUUUAUAACAGUACUAUAUCAUAGUAAACUUCUUAUUUUGACCACCUCAAUCAAUUUAUAAAAAUAGAAUUGUUAUUUCACAGGAAAUAUAAUUUCACAUGAUACCAACCAUACCUAUUGAAAAGUUAAUAAUUAAUAUUUUAAUAGCCGAAAAUUGCUGUACUAUGGUUUAUCUGUGUAUUAUAAAAUCAGUGGUUAUAACUUAUAAGUAUCAGUUAUCUAUUAGUUACAUGAUAUGCAUAAUAUUACUAUUGAAAAAUGGGUAUUUUGGAUGAUCUGAAUAAUAAGUAUGUUAAAGAAAGUGUAAAGAUAUCUUAUUGACAUCGAUACAUAAACAGAUUUAAACACAAAAUACGAACAUAGUCAAUUAUUUUCAAUUCUUUUGUCAGAAAUUAGAUUAACUGGCAUGGAUAUAAAUAUCAUUGGUGAAGAUCCACACAAGCUCAAGGAGAUUGUUUGGUGGUGUAUUUUACAAAAUCUUUAGCAGACACAAUUGGCAUUCAAAUAUUAAUUCUACACUUUGAUGUAAAAGCAGACUUCAUUGAUAUCAUUAUGCCAAGCAUGAUAUGCUCAAUUUCAGGAAAUUUUUGGAAAACAAAACAAUUCUUAACGAUCAUGGAAUCUAAGAUAAAAGCAUAGCUUUGUUAGAAUCUAUCAAAUGCUUCUAUAUUGUCAAUAUUUUUCAUAUUUUGUUACAGGAAAAAUGAUAUUUUACAUUUCAUGUACUAUAAGUUGCUUUAAAUAUUAAAAUAUAGGUUUAAUAUAUGUUUAGCUUUUAAGUCACAAAUACAGGUAAAAGCAUAAAAUGUUUCCAUCAAAUGAGAUAUUGAUUGCUAUCCUUUAAACCAUUAAUUUCUAUUUAUAUAUUAUG